GACGAACGCUGGCGGCGUGCCUAAUACAUGCAAGUUGAGCGCUGAAGGUUGGUACUUGUACCAACUGGAUGAGCAGCGAACGGGUGAGUAACGCGUGGGGGAUCUGCCUUUGAGCGGGGGACAACAUUUGGAAACGAAUGCUAAUACCGCAUAAAAACUUUAAACACAAGUUUUAAGUUUGAAAGAUGCAAUUGCAUCACUCAAAGAUGAUCCCGCGUUGUAUUAGCUAGUCGGUGAGGUAAAGGCUCACCAAGGCGAUGAUACAUAGCCGACCUGAGAGGGUGAUCGGCCACAUUGGGACUGAGACACGGCCCAAACUCCUACGGGAGGCAGCAGUAGGGAAUCUUCGGCAAUGGACGAAAGUCUGACCGAGCAACGCCGCGUGAGUGAAGAAGGUUUUCGGAUCGUAAAACUCUGUUGGUAGAGAAGAACGUUGGUGAGAGUGGAAAGCUCAUCAAGUGACGGUAACUACCCAGAAAGGGACGGCUAACUACGUG
RNAcentral lists this ribosomal RNA (497 nucleotides) under uncultured bacterium. RNAcentral describes it as "partial 16S ribosomal RNA". It matches the Rfam family "Bacterial small subunit ribosomal RNA", at positions 28 to 507 of the family's 1533-position model. The record is from RNAcentral.